This 253-nucleotide ribosomal RNA is filed under the name uncultured bacterium. RNAcentral describes it as "partial 16S ribosomal RNA". It matches the Rfam family "Bacterial small subunit ribosomal RNA", at positions 524 to 776 of the family's 1533-position model. The record is from RNAcentral.
UACGUAGGGUGCAAGCGUUGUCCGGAAUUAUUGGGCGUAAAGAGCUCGUAGGCGGUCUGUCACGUCGGCUGUGAAAACUCGGGGCUCAACCCCGAGCCUGCAGUCGAUACGGGCAGACUAGAGUGCUGUAGGGGAGACUGGAAUUCCUGGUGUAGCGGUGAAAUUCGUAGAUAUUGGGAAGAACACCGGUGGCGAAGGCGGCCAUCUGGACUGCAACUGACGCUGAGGCGCGAAAGCGUGGGGAGCAAACAGG